Molecule: ribosomal RNA, 400 nt
Filed under: uncultured bacterium
Lineage: Bacteria
Description: bacterial SSU rRNA
Rfam family: Bacterial small subunit ribosomal RNA
Source: RNAcentral
AUCAACGCUGGCGGCGUGCCUCAGACAUGCAAGUCGAACGAUUAAAGCUCUCUUCGGAGAGUGUAUAGAGUGGCGCACGGGUGAGUAACACGUAAGUAAUCUACCUUCGAGUGGGGAAUAACCCGGGGAAACCCGAGCUAAUACCGCAUAAUGCAGCGGCACCUAAUGGUGACAGUUGUUAAAGGAGUAAUUCGCUUGAAGAGGAGCUUGCGGCAGAUUAGCAGUUGGUAAGGUAAUGGCUUACCAAGGCUACGAUCUGUAACCGGUCUAAGAGGACGGUCGGUCACACUGACACUGAAUAACGGGUCAGACUCCUACGGGAGGCAGCAGUCGGGAAUUUUGGGCAAUGGGCGAAAGCCUGACCCAGCAACGCCGCGUGAAGGAUGAAGUAUUUCGGUAU